GCAGGACUUCCGCCGUGUUCCGGAGUUGUGAGUCCGCCUCUCUAGCUCCAGAUCUUGUUUUGAUUGCUUUGGAAACCUCACCUUAGCAAACAGCGAUAAUGCCUAGAAAUUCCGGCGUUGCCAGAGAAGGGCGGCUGUCAUUCCCCCAGGACACUUCGGGGACCUAUAGCUGAAGCCUCGAGGCAGUCUCCGGCCUCAGUAGACGGAGGAAGGCUAGGUGAAAGGGGAACAUGGAGAAGUCAUGACAUCAUCCAUGCUGCAGUGAAACAUUCUGGUGGUGCAGAGGCUUUGGAGUAUCCCACACUUCUACAAGCAACCCUUCACCUGUGUUUUGAAGACAAGCUGAAUAAACUUAGAGGUACCCUAAGUCAUAUUUGGGGAAUUCUGCUUUGAUUUACUGUUGAUGCUUUAUAAAGAGGCUGGGUGUUUGUUUAUAUCUUCCCAGGGAAAGAAUUCUAGAAACAAUAAACACACAUAAAAAUGUGAUAUAACAAGACUGUAAUUUGUAUUUCUGUUUCUUUCUGUGAUCAUUUUUACUACCAUCUGGAAAGGGGUAAGAAGUUUUUAAAAUCGUAAUAACAGCUAAUAAUGUGAAUUAGUACCAUACUGUUUGCUAAAAUGGUGUAUUCAUGAACACAAAUCUUUAACUUGGUUCUGUUUAUCAUAGCUUCCUCUUAGAAUUUCUCUGGUUCAAAGAUUUAUUUCUAAAUACAGUUCUCAAUUAAAUAAACUUUUUAUCAAACAAA
Long non-coding RNA from Apodemus sylvaticus (European woodmouse), 746 nucleotides. RefSeq lists it as uncharacterized. The record is from RefSeq and is a predicted model, not a curated record. The transcript has 2 exons. Lineage: Eukaryota; Metazoa; Chordata; Mammalia; Rodentia; Muridae.